Molecule: long non-coding RNA, 508 nt
Organism: Papaver somniferum (opium poppy)
Lineage: Eukaryota; Viridiplantae; Streptophyta; Magnoliopsida; Ranunculales; Papaveraceae
Exons: 2
Source: RefSeq, a predicted model, not a curated record
UUAUCUCUCUUCAUUCCUUUCUUCACCACCGAAAUCAAAAUCCAUGUUCAUCAUCAUCAAUUUUCCCAAUUUCCAUACCUUAAACUUCGAAUAAUCUGUACUUAAUUUCGAAUUUAGGUUUCAGAGUUUUGAUUUGAUUAAACCACUUCAGAAACUAUAACCCUAAAUUGGAAUUGGGUGAAUAUCACUUCAUUAGUAUCUCCACAAAUACUUCCAGAUUGGUUUGGUUAUUAAACUCAUCUUCUUCACUUCAGGUGAUCCAUUUUCCAGGAAGAAAAAGUUGUUGGCAUGAGUAUGAACACGAAAAGAGCUGAAAAGAAAUCCACUAAGAACAUGAAGAAGAGCUUAAAGUAACCUCGUUUAAUUGGGAGGCUCUAAAAAUAAUUAGGGGCCCUGCAUUACAGGACAAAAAGGUCAUGAAAUAGCAAAUAUGGGUUAUCCCUUAUCUUUUUUUUUGAAAUGGCUAAACUAUCUCUAAAUGAUUAGUUAAGUUAAUUAGUUUGUUUAA